AUUGAACGCUGGCGGAAUGUUUUACACAUGCAAGUCGAGCGGCAGCGCGGGGCAACCUGGCGGCGAGCGGCGAAUGGGUGAGUAAUACAUCGGAACGUGCCCAGACGUGGGGGGAUAACUACUCGAAAGAGUGGCUAAUACCGCAUACGAUCUAAGGAUGAAAGCGGGGGAUCGCAAGACCUCGCGCGUUUGGAGCGGCCGAUGGCAGAUUAGGUAGUUGGUGGGGUAAAGGCUUACCAAGCCCGCGAUCUGUAGCUGGUCUGAGAGGAUGAUCAGCCACACUGGGACUGAGACACGGCCCAGACUCCUACGGGAGGCAGCAGUGGGGAAUUUUGGACAAUGGGCGAAAGCCUGAUCCAGCCAUUCCGCGUGCAGGAUGAAGGCCCUCGGGUUGUAAACUGCUUUUGUACAGAACGAAAAAGACUCUUUCUAAUACAGAGAGUCCAUGACGGUACUGUAAGAAUAAGCACCGGCUAACUACGUGCCAGCAGCCGC
This 495-nucleotide ribosomal RNA is filed under the name uncultured bacterium. Its description in RNAcentral is "bacterial SSU rRNA". It matches the Rfam family "Bacterial small subunit ribosomal RNA", at positions 30 to 518 of the family's 1533-position model. The record is from RNAcentral.